AAUAUUUCAAAAUGGGGGAAACCCUGAUGCAGCGACGCCGUGAGAGUGAAGAAGUAUUUCGGUAUGUAAAGAUCUAUCAGCAGGGAAGAAAAUGACGGUACCUGACUAAGAAGCCCUGGUUAACUACGUGCCAGUAGCCGCGGUAAUACGUAGGGGGCAAGCGUUAUCCGGAUUUACUGGGUGUAAAGGGAGCGUAGGUGGCGAGUCAAGUCAGAUGUGAAAGCCCGGGGCUCAACCCCGGGAUUGCAUUUGAAACUGGUUUGCUAGAGUGCAGGAGAGGUAAGUGGAAUUCCUAGUGUAGCGGUGAAAUGCGUAGAUAUUAGGAGGAACACCAGUGGCGAAGGCGGCUUACUGGACUGUAACUGACACUGAGGCUCGAAAGCGUGGGGAGCAAAC
Molecule: ribosomal RNA, 396 nt
Filed under: uncultured bacterium
Lineage: Bacteria
Description: partial 16S ribosomal RNA
Rfam family: Bacterial small subunit ribosomal RNA
Source: RNAcentral